UCAGCAGGCCGCGGUAAUACCAGCACCUCAAGUGGUCAGGAUGAUUAUUGGGCCUAAAGCAUCCGUAGCCGGCUCUGUAAGUUUUCGGUUAAAUCUGUACGCUCAACGUACAGGCUGCCGGGAAUACUGCAGAGCUAGGGAGUGGGAGAGGUAGACGGUACUCGGAAGGAAGGGGUAAAAUCCUUUGAUCUUUUGAUGACCACCUGUGGCGAAGGCGGUCUACCAGAACACGUCCGACGGUGAGGGAUGAAAGCUGGGGGAGCAAACCGGAUUAGAUACCCGGGUAGUCCCAGCUGUAAACUAUGCAAACUCAGUGAUGCAUUGACUUGUGGUCAAUGCAGUGCUGCAGGGAAGCCGUUAAGUUUGCCGCCUGGGAAGUACGUACGCAAGUAUGAAACUCAAAGGA
Molecule: ribosomal RNA, 406 nt
Filed under: uncultured bacterium
Lineage: Bacteria
Description: bacterial SSU rRNA
Rfam family: Archaeal small subunit ribosomal RNA
Source: RNAcentral